Molecule: long non-coding RNA, 664 nt
Filed under: Helianthus annuus (common sunflower)
Lineage: Eukaryota; Viridiplantae; Streptophyta; Magnoliopsida; Asterales; Asteraceae
Description: sRNA HanXRQr2_Chr15g0685011
Source: RNAcentral
AUGUACCACCUGCGUAGCUGUAUUUUGUCUGAUCGAUCGACGUUAGCAAGGCGGUAUUCGUGCAUUAUCCAAUUCGUUUUCACCCCUCGCGGAGCUUUCCCCGCGUAAAACACCAAUGCCUUCUUGAUUCCAACCGCUUUUGGUUUUCCGAUAGGUUUAUCGGCACCGGUAGCCUUCCAAUAACCAGUUCCGGCAGCUCUGUUCGGUCGUGAUCCGUUUGGAUAUUUCCUGUCUCUAGGUGAGAAGAAGUACCACUCCUUUUCUCCAUAUAACGCCAUAUCUGAAGCUGCCAUGGAUCGAACUUAUAAAGAUCAAUUUCAGCAAUAAUCGGAACAGCAAUACUCUGAGACGCACAUUUCCGGCACAAGUAAUGCAUAACCAGCUCAUCAUCCGUCGGAUGAAACCGGAACCCCGGCGGCAACUCCAAACCGCCACACGUCAUCAUAAAACCUCAAAUCAAACUCCAAAUCCGUACGGUUAAUCUCCAAAUCCAGAUCUCGUUCUUCCUCACAAACAAAGCUAGGGUUUCCGGCAGUGUUACAAAGAAGAAGAUCGAGAAGUAUAUAUAACAACAACAACAGAAAGAGUGAAGGUCGCACGUGUAGGAUUGGUUCGAGGAACGAGCAGGAGAGAGAAUGGUGCAGUUGCUUGGAGAAGAAGGCUG